UAGGGAAUCUUCCACAAUGGACGAAAGCCUGAUGGAGCAACGCCGCGUGAGUGAAGAAGGUUUUCGGAUCGUAAAGCUCUGUUGUUGGUGAAGAAGGAUAGAGGCAGUAACUGGUCUUUAUUUGACGGUAAUCAACCAGAAAGUCACGGCUAACUACGCGCCAG
RNAcentral lists this ribosomal RNA (164 nucleotides) under uncultured bacterium. RNAcentral describes it as "partial 16S rRNA". It matches the Rfam family "Bacterial small subunit ribosomal RNA", at positions 355 to 511 of the family's 1533-position model. The record is from RNAcentral.